This is a non-coding RNA of Benincasa hispida (wax gourd), 1027 nucleotides long. NCBI's taxonomy places the organism in Eukaryota, Viridiplantae, Streptophyta, Magnoliopsida, Cucurbitales, Cucurbitaceae. The record is from RefSeq and is a predicted model, not a curated record.
CUUUUCUCCUCGCCGAUUUCCAUGUCCACUGUUCCUCUUUUUCUCCCCAAUCUUCUUCCUUUCUUCUCCCUUUUCUCCAAUUUCCUCUUCUAAUUUUCACUUCUUUUUUUUCUUUUAAAUAAUAAUUUUUCUUAGCUUUUUUUCCUCUUUAAAUUCCUUUCUCUUCUUUGAGUCUUUAGAUUUCAACCGUUUUGUCCAAAUUUAUUGAAAAUCUCAUUCCCAUCUCUCACUUCGAACUUAAAGAUCAAAUCUUUGGGUUGAUCGAUUAUGAGGGUGUGUAUUGGAUUUGGAUUAUGAACAUGGGUUUUCAAAAAGAUUCAAGCCUUCCUUCUUGGAUUAACUCUUUGAAGUAAAAAUCUAGGGUUUGAAAAAAAAAAACUAAAAAUUUUCUUGUUAAUUUGAUUGAGGGAGAGAGAUAGGGUUUUUGAAGAGAUAGUAAAGUUGUUGGUUGCUGGUGUAGCAUUAUCAAGAUUCACAUUCAAAUGUGUUGCGUUGGGGCUGUUCCAGAUUUCUUUGCAACUGAGAAUCUUGAUGAUGCUGCAUCGGCAAUAAAUGACUACAUAAAUAUAUAUCACAGAUUCUGACAUUUUCCCACGACCAAAAUUAACAGGCAAGGGAAAGAGAAUCUCGAGAGAUUAAAUUUAAGCUCCACAAUGGGAUGGCAGCAGACGAGCUCAAGGAUGCAUGCUCUCUCCAUCUCCGUCUCCAUGGAGAUUUUUCUUUGUCGUUCCAAUGGGAGUUUUUUCAUUCCUGUCUCCUCUCCAUUCUCCAUUUCAAAGUUUUGUUGACUAUUUGUGAUGUCACAUUCCUUUUGAUAUAGAUAUAUACACGCGCAAAUGUUAUGUACAUUAUAAAUAUUAUAAGUUAAGCAAUGAUACCAACUAUGUUGGGGAGAAUUAAUCCUUCUUCAAACAAAGGACAAAAAAAAUCCACUUCUCUACCACCAAAGAAAUCAAUUUAAACAAUAAUAAUAACAAUGUAAUAAUUAAAGGUAGGGGUAAAGAGAAAUUAAAUCUCUUGUGGAUGA